Non-coding RNA from Kogia breviceps (pygmy sperm whale), 461 nucleotides. The record is from RefSeq and is a predicted model, not a curated record. NCBI's taxonomy places the organism in Eukaryota, Metazoa, Chordata, Mammalia, Artiodactyla, Physeteridae.
GCAAGUCAGCUGCCCCUCAUGAGAAAGGCACUCUUAGAACUCAGCUGGCCCAGGGAAGGCAUGGCAGCCCUUCCACCUGGGUUCUGGUACUCACCCAUCAUGGGGAGUCUUGUUCUUGCUCUACACUCCUCUGAAAGGGGAGAUGGAGAUGAGGCUGGAUUGGAGGAGAAGUGGGGGCAGGUCCUCAGGAGCAUGGGGAAGCCAGACUUUUAUAUUCAAUACCUCCAGCACCCGCUGUUUGUUAAGGAAUGUAGAGUGGAGUUUUCCAGACUACAUGGUGUGUGAUAGCACAACAGAUUGACUGUGGACAAAGGUCUGAGAAUCCAACUGUCUUUCUGUGAAGCCCACACGCUAACGUGGUUUGUAAAACUAUCAGACAGUGCCACUCCUUUUGCUCAAUUUUUUUGUUGUUGUGGAAAAUAUAGUUACGUUUCAUUAGGAUAUAGUUUAUGUUAACAUAG